GGCUCCGUAGCUCAGCUGGAUAGAGCGUCGGUUUCCUAAACCGUGCGUCGGAGGUUCGAGUCCUCUCGGGGCCGCCA
This 77-nucleotide transfer RNA is filed under the name Aneurinibacillus thermoaerophilus. RNAcentral describes it as "tRNA_Arg_CCT". It matches the Rfam family "tRNA". Rfam says of the family: Transfer RNA (tRNA) molecules are approximately 80 nucleotides in length. Their secondary structure includes four short double-helical elements and three loops (D, anti-codon, and T loops). The record is from RNAcentral. RNAcentral also lists the same sequence under 1 other name. Lineage: Bacteria; Bacillati; Bacillota; Bacilli; Caryophanales; Paenibacillaceae.